RNAcentral lists this ribosomal RNA (326 nucleotides) under Staphylococcus pseudintermedius. RNAcentral's name for it is "bacterial SSU rRNA". It matches the Rfam family "Bacterial small subunit ribosomal RNA", at positions 236 to 554 of the family's 1533-position model. Lineage: Bacteria; Bacillati; Bacillota; Bacilli; Caryophanales; Staphylococcaceae. The record is from RNAcentral.
CCGUAUUAGCUAGUUGGUGGGGUAACGGCCUACCAAGGCGACGAUACGUAGCCGACCUGAGAGGGUGAUCGGCCACACUGGAACUGAGACACGGUCCAGACUCCUACGGGAGGCAGCAGUAGGGAAUCUUCCGCAAUGGGCGAAAGCCUGACGGAGCAACGCCGCGUGAGUGAUGAAGGUCUUCGGAUCGUAAAGCUCUGUUGUUAGGGAAGAACAAAUGUGUAAGUAACUGUGCACAUCUUGACGGUACCUAACCAGAAAGCCACGGCUAACUACGUGCCAGCAGCCGCGGUAAUACGUAGGUGGCAAGCGUUAUCCGGAAUUAU